This 470-nucleotide ribosomal RNA is filed under the name Streptococcus mutans. Its description in RNAcentral is "bacterial SSU rRNA". It matches the Rfam family "Bacterial small subunit ribosomal RNA", at positions 28 to 473 of the family's 1533-position model. Lineage: Bacteria; Bacillati; Bacillota; Bacilli; Lactobacillales; Streptococcaceae. The record is from RNAcentral.
GACGAACGCUGGCGGCGUGCCUAAUACAUGCAAGUGGGACGCAAGGGAACACACUGUGCUUGCACACCGUGUUUUCUUGAGUCGCGAACGGGUGAGUAACGCGUAGGUAACCUGCCUAUUAGCGGGGGAUAACUAUUGGAAACGAUAGCUAAUACCGCAUAAUAUUAAUUAUUGCAUGAUAAUUGAUUGAAAGAUGCAAGCGCAUCACUAGUAGAUGGACCUGCGUUGUAUUAGCUAGUUGGUAAGGUAAGAGCUUACCAAGGCGACGAUACAUAGCCGACCUGAGAGGGUGAUCGGCCACACUGGGACUGAGACACGGCCCAGUCUCCUACGGGAGGCAGCAGUAGGGAGUCUUCGGCAAUGGACGAAAGUCUGACCGAGCAACGCCGCGUGAGUGAAGAAGGUUUUCGGAUCGUAAAGCUCUGUUGUAAGUCAAGAACGUGUGUGAGAGUGGAAAGUUCACACAGGAC